UCCUGGUUCAUAGGUUAAUGCUCAACCACUGAGCCACGCCAGUCAGGCAAUGCUUAUAACAUUUUAAUGAGCUCUGGUUCUACAUUUAAAUU
This is a long non-coding RNA of Myotis brandtii (Brandt's bat), 92 nucleotides long. RefSeq lists it as uncharacterized. The record is from RefSeq and is a predicted model, not a curated record. The transcript is spliced from 3 exons. Lineage: Eukaryota; Metazoa; Chordata; Mammalia; Chiroptera; Vespertilionidae.